AAAAGCUAUUCAUGUGUUGCUUUUGGUCCCAUGAUUCAUAAUUGCUUUGAGGAAUAAAUAUGUUUGUGGUUAUACAGAAGAGAUUGCUGAAUGAAAAAAUUGUGAUUCAUUUGUAUAUAAAUGUAAAAGCUACUCUAGCUGAGUAAUUAAUGGUUUAUUUAAACAAUGGCACUUGACAGGUUCUGUGGCCAAGAACUUCUUCACCAAAUCAAAGCUUUCCAUUCCAGAACUCUCCUAUAUAUGGGAGCUUAGUGAUGCUGACUGUGAUGGAGCCCUGACCCUGCCUGAGUUCUGUGCUGCGUUUCAUCUCAUUGUGGCUCGGAAGAACGGCUACCCAUUGCCUGAGGGCCUCCCUCCAACUCUGCAGCCAGAAUACCUGCAGGCAGCUUUUCCUAAGCCCAAAUGGGACUGUCAAUUAUUUGAUUCUUAUUCUGAGUCACUGCCGGCAAAUCAACAACCUCGUGACUUGAAUCGGAUGGAGAAGACAUCUGUUAAAGACAUGGCUGACCUUCCUGUCCCUAACCAGGAUGUAACUAGUGAUGACAAACAAGCUUUGAAAAGUACUAUCAAUGAAGCCUUACCAAAGGACGUGUCUGAGGAUCCAGCUACCAAGUCAGGAUUGUUACCCCCACCACCUGCGCUCCCUCCAAG
RNAcentral lists this long non-coding RNA (651 nucleotides) under Homo sapiens (human). RNAcentral describes it as "HSALNT0280573". Lineage: Eukaryota; Metazoa; Chordata; Mammalia; Primates; Hominidae. The record is from RNAcentral.